UCAGCUAGUGAAACUCGUAUCCGGUCUGAGUACUAUGCUUAAAAUUUGAAUUUUAGUAUUGAUCAACAUUGCCUUAAAAAAAAUUACUUUUUCGUGAUCUAGGGGUUCAACCCUACCAGGAACUACCACCAUCCUUCUUGGGGCACUUUUCCUUCUUCGACGCUGCGUCGACUUCUCUGCUGACGUCGACUUCUCUGCUGACGUCGACAGCGGCAGAGUGUUUUUGCCUAAUGAUAUCCCAGUCGGAAAUGACUGCACUCCGGAACCGGUUCUUUCAUUAUGGAAGGGUCGAAAAAUACGUUUGCCUUCUACCACUUGACCACUUUUUCUGGCCAAGCAAGAUACUUGGCUUCUGUUAUUUGCAUCGUGCUAAAUUGGCUAAUAUCUAUUAGAAAUUUGAGUAAUGUAAAUGUAAAGCUCUUCAGAUUUAUAGAGUUCUACUUCAACAUGUAACAAUAGUUUUUGCAACAUUAACAUGUUAUAUUUAUUGAAAAAUAGUGGGCAUGACACGCCUUAAGAAAGUUUUAAGGAAGAAAGUAAUAUACAGCGUCAUCUUGUAGCCACAACAGGGCAAUUUGCUAUUUGAAAAUCAAAAAUGUGUAGUAGGACAUAUACAGACAUGGCCUGGCCCACUGUACGAGAUAUGAUGUUAUAUAUUAAUACUGACAUGGCCCACUGUACGCCAUAUGAUGUAGUGUAUUAAUACUGGCAUGGCCCACUGUACGAUACAAUAAGCGGAAAGCCUAGUUUAAGUUAACUGUAAGCGUUAUAUUGUCAUCCCUUUCUACCGAGUACUGCAGCAUAAGAGAUCGCAGAUACGUAUACCUACCUCGCUCACACAGAUGAGCGGGAAGAAGGACAAGGGAGAAUUGUGUCGGGACCCUGUGGUAUACGUUCGAGGAAAGCGGUUGCGGAAUUGAAAAAAAUUAAAAUUUAUAAACUUAAA
Non-coding RNA from Drosophila suzukii, 946 nucleotides. NCBI's taxonomy places the organism in Eukaryota, Metazoa, Arthropoda, Insecta, Diptera, Drosophilidae. The record is from RefSeq and is a predicted model, not a curated record.